GGGGUGACUCAAAGGUGUCUGUGAUAUGUAACAAUUGGAGGCUGAGUAGGCAUCUUUCUCUCCUCUCCAGGUGGCCUCUCGCUGCAUAAUAUUUCAUUGUAUGGAUAAACUACACAGUUCCCAGUGAUGAAGACCAAGAUUGUUCCCAAUCUGUUUGCUAUUAUAAACAGUGUUGCAACAAA
Molecule: long non-coding RNA, 182 nt
Organism: Pan troglodytes (chimpanzee)
Lineage: Eukaryota; Metazoa; Chordata; Mammalia; Primates; Hominidae
Exons: 2
Source: RefSeq, a predicted model, not a curated record